RNAcentral lists this transfer RNA (71 nucleotides) under Cyclopsetta fimbriata (spotfin flounder). RNAcentral describes it as "tRNA-Pro". It matches the Rfam family "tRNA". Rfam says of the family: Transfer RNA (tRNA) molecules are approximately 80 nucleotides in length. Their secondary structure includes four short double-helical elements and three loops (D, anti-codon, and T loops). Further hydrogen bonds mediate the characteristic L-shaped molecular structure. tRNAs have two regions of fundamental functional importance: the anti-codon, which is responsible for specific mRNA codon recognition, and the 3' end, to which the tRNAs corresponding amino acid is attached (by aminoacyl-tRNA synthetases). tRNAs cope with the degeneracy of the genetic code in two manners: having more than one tRNA (with a specific anti-codon) for a particular amino acid; and 'wobble' base-pairing, i.e. permitting non-standard base-pairing at the 3rd anti-codon position. Lineage: Eukaryota; Metazoa; Chordata; Actinopteri; Pleuronectiformes; Cyclopsettidae. The record is from RNAcentral.
CAGAGAGUAGUUUAGCGCUAUAAUGCUAACUUUGGGAGUUAGUGGCAGGAGUUGGAGUCUCCUCUCUCUGA